Long non-coding RNA from Pollicipes pollicipes, 457 nucleotides. RefSeq lists it as uncharacterized. The record is from RefSeq and is a predicted model, not a curated record. The transcript has 3 exons. Lineage: Eukaryota; Metazoa; Arthropoda; Thecostraca; Pollicipedomorpha; Pollicipedidae.
UCCACGCUGUCCCGCUGCCGGGUCCGGCCGGCACCGGCCGCUGAGCACCGCGGCCUCCUGGUGCAGGGCCACAACUGGAGAGCGCACGUGGACCUUGCAGGGUCACGUGGAUGUAGCCGCCGAACUGGACCAGCUGAGGUCCAAGAGGGAGAAAACUGAGGCGAAACUUGCUGCUCUAGACGCCCUUAUGCAAACGAACAAGUUCGGAAGGCGACCGACGAAAAUGAAGGAUCAAGGAAGAGCUCGGAGAGUACUGCUUGCAGAAGAAGUGGAGAGAUUGAAAGAAUGUGAAGAUGACAUAAGUGGGCUGAGUUGACGGCCACCAUCAAGUAUUCGCUUUCGUCGAAACGCUUUUGGUUCGGUCCUGUAGCCGAAAUGUGUGCAGUAGGUGCGAUGUGAAACUGACGCAUGUUUGAAAAUAUAGGGACCUCAGUGGACACCAAAAUGCUUUAUAAGA